CUAGUACUUCCUCCGUUCGAAAAUACUUGUCACCAAAAUGAAUAAAAUGGGAUGUAUCUAAAAUUAAAAUAUGUCUAAAUGCAUCUUCUUUUAUUCAUUUUGAUGAUAAGUAUUUCCGAACGAAGGGAGUAUAAA
This is a non-coding RNA of Triticum aestivum (bread wheat), 135 nucleotides long. The record is from Rfam. NCBI's taxonomy places the organism in Eukaryota, Viridiplantae, Streptophyta, Magnoliopsida, Poales, Poaceae.